RNAcentral lists this ribosomal RNA (279 nucleotides) under uncultured bacterium. Its description in RNAcentral is "partial 16S ribosomal RNA". It matches the Rfam family "Bacterial small subunit ribosomal RNA", at positions 68 to 339 of the family's 1533-position model. The record is from RNAcentral.
AAGUUUUUCGGAUGGAUCUGAUUUAACUUAGUGGCGAACGGGUGAGUAACACGUAGGUAACCUGCCCAUGUGCCCGGGAUAACUUCUGGAAACGGAUGCUAAAACCGGAUAGGUAGCAGACAAGCAUUUGACUGCUAUUAAAGUGGCCUUGGCCAUGAACAUGGAUGGACCUGCGGUGCAUUAGCUAGUUGGUGAGGUAACGGCCCACCAAGGCGACGAUCAGUAGCCGGACUGAGAGGUUGACCGGCCACAUUGGGACUGAGAUACGGCCCAAACUCC